GAUGAACGCUGGCGGCAUGCCUAACACAUGCAAGUCGAUCGGUAAGGCUCUUCGGAGUCCCCGAGAGGCGGACGGCUGAGUAACGCGUAGGAACACACCCUGCAGUGAGGGAUAAGACACCGAAAGGUGUUCUAAUACCGCAUACGGUCUUCGGAUUAAAGCAUUUAUGCGCUGAAGGAGUGGCCUGCGUCAUAUUAGAUAGUUGGUGAGGUAAUGGCUCACCAAGUCGAUGAUGUGUAGCUGGUCUGAGAGGAUGAUCAGCCAGACUGGAACUGAGACACGGUCCAGACUCCUACGGGAGGCAGCAGUGAGGAAUAUUUCACAAUGAGCGAAAGCUUGAUGGAGCAAUGCCGCGUGCAGGAUGAAGGCCCUCGGGUUGUAAACUGCUUUUAUAAGAGAAGAUUAUGACGGUAACUGAUGAAUAAGGGACGGCUAACUACGUG
This 443-nucleotide ribosomal RNA is filed under the name uncultured bacterium. RNAcentral's name for it is "partial 16S ribosomal RNA". It matches the Rfam family "Bacterial small subunit ribosomal RNA", at positions 28 to 507 of the family's 1533-position model. The record is from RNAcentral.